RNAcentral lists this ribosomal RNA (120 nucleotides) under Peromyscus maniculatus bairdii (prairie deer mouse). The record is from RNAcentral. Lineage: Eukaryota; Metazoa; Chordata; Mammalia; Rodentia; Cricetidae.
GUCUACGGCCAUACCACCCUGAACGCGCCCGAUCUCGUCUGAUCUCGGAAGCUAAGCAGGGUCGGGCCUGGUUAGUACUUGGAUGGGAGACUGCCUGAGAAUAACGGUAGGCUUUAAAAA